This 253-nucleotide ribosomal RNA is filed under the name uncultured Pseudomonas sp. Its description in RNAcentral is "partial 16S ribosomal RNA". It matches the Rfam family "Bacterial small subunit ribosomal RNA", at positions 99 to 355 of the family's 1533-position model. Lineage: Bacteria; Pseudomonadati; Pseudomonadota; Gammaproteobacteria; Pseudomonadales; Pseudomonadaceae. The record is from RNAcentral.
CGGACGGGUGAGUAAUGCCUAGGAAUCUGCCUGGUAGUGGGGGACAACGUUUCGAAAGGAACGCUAAUACCGCAUACGUCCUACGGGAGAAAGCAGGGGACCUUCGGGCCUUGCGCUANCAGAUGAGCCUAGGUCGGAUUAGCUAGUUGGUGAGGUAAUGGCUCACCAAGGCGACGAUCCGUAACUGGUCUGAGAGGAUGAUCAGUCACACUGGAACUGAGACACGGUCCAGACUCCUACGGGAGGCAGCAGC